GAUGAACGCUGGCGGCGUGCCUAAUACAUGCAAGUCGAGCGAACGGACGAGAAGCUUGCUUCUCUGAUGUUAGCGGCGGACGGGUGAGUAACACGUGGAUAACCUACCUAUAAGACUGGGAUAACUUCGGGAAACCGGAGCUAAUACCGGAUAAUAUUUUGAACCGCAUGGUUCAAAAGUGAAAGACGGUCUUGCUGUCACUUAUAGAUGGAUCCGCGCUGCAUUAGCUAGUUGGUAAGGUAACGGCUUACCAAGGCAACGAUGCAUAGCCGACCUGAGAGGGUGAUCGGCCACACUGGAACUGAGACACGGUCCAGACUCCUACGGGAGGCAGCAGUAGGGAAUCUUCCGCAAUGGGCGAAAGCCUGACGGAGCAACGCCGCGUGAGUGAUAAAGGUCUUCGGAUCGUAAAACUCUGUUAUUAGGGAAGAACAUAUGUGUAAGUAACUGUGCACAUCUUGACGGUACCUAAUCAGAAAGCCACGGCUAACUACGUGCCAGCAGCCGCGGUAAUACGUAGGUGGCAAGCGUUAUCCGGAAUUAUUGGGCGUAAAGCGCGCGUAGGCGGUUUUUUAAGUCUGAUGUGAAAGCCCACGGCUCAACCGUGGAGGGUCAUUGGAAACUGGAAAACUUGAGUGCAGAAGAGGAAAGUGGAAUUCCAUGUGUAGCGGUGAAAUGCGCAGAGAUAUGGAGGAACACCAGUGGCGAAGGCGACUUUCUGGUCUGUAACUGACGCUGAUGUGCGAAAGCGUGGGGAUCAAACAGGAUUAGAUACCCUGGUAGUCUACGCCGUAAACGAUGAGUGCUAAGUGUUAGGGGGUUUCCGCCCCUUAGUGCUGCAGCUAACGCAUUAAGCACUCCGCCUGGGGAGUACGACCGCAAGGUUGAAACUCAAAGGAAUUGACGGGGACCCGCACAAGCGGUGGAGCAUGUGGUUUAAUUCGAAGCAACGCGAAGAACCUUACCAAAUCUUGACAUCCUUUGACAACUCUAGAGAUAGAGCUUUCCCCUUCGGGGGACAAAGUGACAGGUGGUGCAUGGUUGUCGUCAGCUCGUGUCGUGAGAUGUUGGGUUAAGUCCCGCAACGAGCGCAACCCUUAAGCUUAGUUGCCAUCAUUAAGUUGGGCACUCUAAGUUGACUGCCGGUGACAAACCGGAGGAAGGUGGGGAUGACGUCAAAUCAUCAUGCCCCUUAUGAUUUGGGCUACACACGUGCUACAAUGGACAAUACAAAGGGCAGCGAAACCGCGAGGUCAAGCAAAUCCCAUAAAGUUGUUCUCAGUUCGGAUUGUAGUCUGCAACUCGACUACAUGAAGCUGGAAUCGCUAGUAAUCGUAGAUCAGCAUGCUACGGUGAAUACGUUCCCGGGUCU
Molecule: ribosomal RNA, 1372 nt
Filed under: uncultured bacterium
Lineage: Bacteria
Description: bacterial SSU rRNA
Rfam family: Bacterial small subunit ribosomal RNA
Source: RNAcentral